CUUCCGGGUGAAAGAUUUUCCACAUUUUCUACAUUCAUGUGGUCUCUCUCCUGUGUAUGUUCUCUGAUGCAUAUUGAGGGUUGACUUCUGCCUGAAACAAUUUCCAUAUCUGCUGCAUUCAUAAGGCUUCUCUCCUGUGUGUAUUCUAUGAUGAACACUGAGCCAUGCCUUCUGGGUGAAAGACUUUUCACAUUUGUUACAUUUAUAAGGUUUCUCACCUGUAUGCAUUCUCUUAUGCAUGCUGAGUGAUGACUUCUGGGUGAAGAAUUUCUCACACUAGUUACAUUCAUAAGGUUUCUCACCUGUGUGUGUUUUCUGAUGAGUGGUAAGGCUUGACUUCCGGGUGAAAGUGUUUCCACAUCGGUUACAUUUAUACGGUUUCUCUCCUGUGUGAAUUUUCUUAUUUGUCAUGAGUGAUGACUUACGAUUGAAGGACUUUCCACAUUUGUUACAUUCAUAAGGUUUCUCUCCUGUGUGAAUUCU
Molecule: long non-coding RNA, 483 nt
Organism: Perognathus longimembris pacificus (Pacific pocket mouse)
Lineage: Eukaryota; Metazoa; Chordata; Mammalia; Rodentia; Heteromyidae
Exons: 3
Source: RefSeq, a predicted model, not a curated record